CGGCAGAGUAACUGUGGUGGGCGUGACGGUAUCCAACCAGAAAGCCACGGCUAACUACGUGCCAGCAGCCGCGGUAAUACGUAGGUGGCAAGCGUUAUCCGGAUUUAUUGGGCGUAAAGCGAGCGCAGGCGGUUUUUUAAGUCUGAUGUGAAAGCCCUCGGCUUAACCGAGGAAGUGCAUCGGAAACUGGGAAACUUGAGUGCAGAAGAGGACAGUGGAACUCCAUGUGUAGCGGUGAAAUGCGUAGAUAUAUGGAAGAACACCAGUGGCGAAGGCGGCUGUCUGGUCUGUAACUGACGCUGAGGCUCGAAAGCAUGGGUAGCGAACAGGAUUAGAUACCCUGGUAGUCCAUGCCGUAAACGAUGAAUGCUAGGUGUUGGAGGGUUUCCGCCCUUCAGUGCCGCAGCUAACGCAUUAAGCAUUCCGCCUGGGGAGUACGACCGCAAGGUUGAAACUCAAAGGAAUUGACGGGGGCCCGCACAAGCGGUGGAGCAUGUGGUUUAAUUCGAAGCAACGCGAAGAACCUUACCAGGUCUUGACAUCUUUUGAUCACCUGAGAGAUCAGGUUUCCCCUUCGGGGGCAAAAUGACAGGUGGUGCAUGGUUGUCGUCAGCUCGUGUCGUGAGAUGUUGGGUUAAGUCCCGCAACGAGCGCAACCCUUAUGACUAGUUGCCAGCAUUUAGUUGGGCACUCUAGUAAGACUGCCGGUGACAAACCGGAGGAAGGUGGGGAUGACGUCAAAUCAUCAUGCCCCUUAUGACCUGGGCUACACACGUGCUACAAUGGAUGGUACAACGAGUUGCGAGACCGCGAGGUCAAGCUAAUCUCUUAAAGCCAUUCUCAGUUCGGACUGUAGGCUGCAACUCGCCUACACGAAGUCGGAAUCGCUGUAAUCGCGGAUCAGCACGCCGCGGUGAAUACGUUCCCGGGCCUUGUACACACCGCCCGUCACACCCUGAGAGUUUGU
Molecule: ribosomal RNA, 967 nt
Filed under: Lacticaseibacillus rhamnosus
Lineage: Bacteria; Bacillati; Bacillota; Bacilli; Lactobacillales; Lactobacillaceae
Description: bacterial SSU rRNA
Rfam family: Bacterial small subunit ribosomal RNA
Source: RNAcentral